GCUGGGCGCGGUGGCUCACGCCUGUAAUCCCAGCACUUUGGGAGGCUGAGACGGGUGGAUCACCUGAGGUCAGGAGAUCGAGACCAGCCUGACCAACAUGGAGAAACCCCGUCUCUA
RNAcentral lists this small RNA (117 nucleotides) under Cercocebus atys (sooty mangabey). RNAcentral's name for it is "Metazoan signal recognition particle RNA". RNAcentral also lists the same sequence under 1 other name. The record is from Rfam by way of RNAcentral. Lineage: Eukaryota; Metazoa; Chordata; Mammalia; Primates; Cercopithecidae.